RNAcentral lists this ribosomal RNA (252 nucleotides) under uncultured bacterium. RNAcentral describes it as "partial 16S ribosomal RNA". It matches the Rfam family "Bacterial small subunit ribosomal RNA", at positions 524 to 776 of the family's 1533-position model. The record is from RNAcentral.
GACAGAGGCCCCGAGCGUUAGGCGGAAUCACUGGGCUUAAAGCGUGUGUAGGCGGAUCGUUAAGUGUCUUGUGAAAUCCCACGGCUCACCCGUGGAACCGCUGGGCAUACUGGCGAUCUCGGGCCAUUCAGGGGCGACUGGAACAAGCGGUGGAGCGGUGAAAUGCGUAGAUAUCGCUUGGAACGCCGAAGGUGAAAACAGGUCGCUGGGGAUGUGCCGACGCUGAGACACGAAGCCAGGGGAGCAAACGGG